ACUCUUUUAAGCUGGGAACCCUCAACGCUUCCCCCCUCUCCUCCCCCGCUCAAAAUGGCGAAUCCCAAUCGCAAGUACUCGUGCGAGAGCGCUGACAAAACCCUAGAAUGGAUGAACGCCAUUGCAGAUUUCCUCCGACCUUACAAACCCCUAAUCGAUUCUCACGUCGUCAAUUUCCUCAAGGAGAGGUUAUGGGAGCUAGUGGAUGAGCAAUGGAUGGAAUGCCUUAGAAAAGAAUCCGUGGAUAAUUUACUUGGUAUACCUUCAGGAUUAGUUCAGGACUACUGGCCCACUUCACUCAAAGAGUUUGUAAUGACCUUGAGGUCUCUUGCGCUACCUCGUGAGCAAAAAUCGUUUCAUGAGAUGUUACCUAAUUUGCGUGUGGCAUCGCUUGGCACUGUGUUAUCUCAAGGAAUGAAUUCAAAGAAGAAACAUGAAGUGGAAAUCCUGGCUGCAGUUGUAAAUGCUAUAGCGCAUGUUGCUGAUGCCCAGACCAUUAUUGAUGUUGGCUCUGGACAGGGCUAUCUUGCACAAGCCUUGGCUUUUGACUACCAACUCUCUGUAAUCGCAAUAGAUGCUUCUCUGCACCAUUCCACUGUUACGGCUGCUCGUGCUGAGAGAAUUAAGAAGCAUUAUGCUGCCAAAUUGCGUAAAUCUGGAUAUGGAGAUAUUCAUCUGAAGGUACCACAUGUUGUCACUUGCCAUGUUCUUUCAAGUGACACUCUUACAGCAUUAAGCAGUUCAUUGUAUAAUAAAAACAUUGAAGAAGCAGAUUCUCUUGGGUGCUCAAUGUUAGAAGGAAAAGGAAGUUCUUCUGCACACGGUUAUGAAGUUUCUUCACUGGUCCUUGUUGGCCUUCAUGCUUGUGGAGAUCUUUCAGUGAGCAUGCUUAGGACUUUUGUUGACUGUGAACAAGUAAAGGCACUAGUUGGCAUUGGUUGUUGUUACAACCUGCUAUCUGAAGAUUGUUUUGAGAAUGAUGACAUCCCCUGUGGUUUUCCAAUGAGCAUUGCUGCAAAAGUAUCCAGGUUAAGCCUUGGAAAAAAUGCUCGUGAUCUUGCUUGUCAGAGUGCUGAGAGAUGGAGAAAACUCACUAAAGAUGCUGCGCUUCAGAAUUUUGAUUUACAUGCAUUUCGUGCCGCCUUUCAAAUGCUUCUUGAGAGAUACUACCCUGGAGUCCUAAACUCGAGUCCUUCAAUUGGUCGUCAAGGGAAAGCUUUACGACGCAAACAGUUGAGGAGAUCUAUUGAAUUUCAGUCGGGCCCUGGAGGAAGUGAACUUCCUGCAUCAAAUCCCAACAGUGACUUUAUUGGAAAUGUUACUUCAAUGUCCAUGAUUUCUUCUCAAGUUCAUUUGACCAGUAGUCGCUACAUUGAUGCCGCUGCUGCUAUCUCGAAAGACGAUAGUUGUAUGACCUAUUUGACAUCCAAGUUUUAUUGUGACAUGGAAAGCAAAGAUAUUAUGGAAAGCCAAGCAGCUCAGUCUUUCCAAACACGGGAAAAAUAUGUUCUUUUUAAAGAGUUUUGUGAAAUGGGACUGAGUCGCCUUAGUUUGGAACAUUUACGAGAUAUUGAUAUGCUGAAAAUAUGGAGGGAAGUUCAACAGUUCUUGGAACUUGUAGGUCCCUACUGGUCUCUUCGGGCUGCUGUUGGGCAGCUAGUAGAGACAUAUAUCUUGCUUGAUAGGUUAUUGUUCCUCCAAGAAAAAGGCAAUUUGAUAGAAGCAUGCCUAUUCCCUAUUUUUAAUUCUGAUAUUUCACCAAGGAACAUUGCAAUAAUUGCUCGAAAAGCUGGUCUAGGUUCAUGAAUCUGCUUACGAUACAAAUUUGUAUUGUAUGCUUAUAACAGGAAUUGAAAGGAUGAACCUUUAGCAUGGGGUAUUGAUUCUGCUUCAUUAAUGGUUCCUAAAUUUCAUAGGUUUAUUUAAUCCAAGUGGUUUACCCUGAAUGCAGCAACCACUUCAAGCCACACAUGACUAUGGGGAAAAUCUUAUUAUUAUCUAUCAGCUAUGGGAGAAUGAAGAAUUUUGAGGUGUAGCUCUGAAUCGGCCACAUCAGCUUCUCAACAAAAUGACAAGGAACAAAGCCAUCAGAGGUAUGCAAGAAAAGUAUGUGUACUGUAGCAUUAGAAAAUCUUCAGACUGGAGCCUUUCAAAAUUAAGCGAGUCGGUUCAUACCUUUAAUUUCCUACCUCAAAAAUCUUUAUCACUUAUUUAAUUUCCUACCUCAAAAAUCUUUAUCACUUAAUUGCACACUGUGUGACAUCUUAAAGUGUUGUAUCUUUCUAUGUGACCUUUUAAUGAUAGAGCUAACUGCUUUUAGAAGUGACCUAAGGCGUUGUAUCUUGGAUGGAAGUUUAUGUGCUGUUGACAUGUUUAUUAUUUUGCAACGGAGGCUAUCAAAGGGUUACUUUCACAAA
Asparagus officinalis (garden asparagus) is the source of this 2417-nucleotide RNA transcript. It is a transcript of the gene named protein RRNAD1, with no coding region annotated. NCBI's taxonomy places the organism in Eukaryota, Viridiplantae, Streptophyta, Magnoliopsida, Asparagales, Asparagaceae. The record is from RefSeq and is a predicted model, not a curated record. The transcript is spliced from 15 exons.